This 90-nucleotide transfer RNA is filed under the name Sphenostylis stenocarpa. RNAcentral describes it as "tRNA gene-AYBTSS11_LOCUS31210". It matches the Rfam family "tRNA". Rfam says of the family: Transfer RNA (tRNA) molecules are approximately 80 nucleotides in length. Their secondary structure includes four short double-helical elements and three loops (D, anti-codon, and T loops). Lineage: Eukaryota; Viridiplantae; Streptophyta; Magnoliopsida; Fabales; Fabaceae. The record is from RNAcentral.
CCGACCUUAGCUCAGUUGGUAGAGCGGAGGACUGUAGUGGUUAGUGCCUCAGAUAUCCUUAGGUCGCUGGUUCGAAUCCGGCAGGUCGGA